Molecule: unclassified non-coding RNA, 499 nt
Filed under: Hevea brasiliensis (rubber tree)
Lineage: Eukaryota; Viridiplantae; Streptophyta; Magnoliopsida; Malpighiales; Euphorbiaceae
Source: RNAcentral
GAAGAGAUAGAGGAUGGCGUUUAGUGGUGAAGAAGUAAGCAACAAACAGGUGAUAUUCAGAGACUAUGUGACUGGUUUUCCUCAAGAAUCUGACAUGUGCUUCACCACUGGUACUGUAAAACUCAAGGUACCAGAAGGUUCUAAUGGUGUUCUUGUCAAGAAUCUCUAUCUCUCCUGUGAUCCUUACAUGCGAAUCUUGAUGGGGAAACAUGAGGUUUCCAGCUCAUUUUCCUCCUAUACUCCAGGCUCUCCACUUACUGGGUAUGGAGUGGCUAAAGUUUUGGAUUCAGGAAACCCAGACUUUAAAGAAGGGGACUUGGUUUGGGGAAUAACUGGAUGGGAAGAGUACAGUCUCAUCACAACACCACAAGCGCUCUUUAAAAUUCAGCAUACUGAUGUUCCCGUUUCAUACUAUACAGGAAUUCUUGGUAUGCCUGGAGUGACUGCUUAUGCUGGUUUUUAUGAGGUUUCUUCUCCCAAGAAAGGAGACCGUGUUUUC